Long non-coding RNA from Photinus pyralis (common eastern firefly), 2024 nucleotides. RefSeq lists it as uncharacterized. The record is from RefSeq and is a predicted model, not a curated record. Lineage: Eukaryota; Metazoa; Arthropoda; Insecta; Coleoptera; Lampyridae. The transcript has 12 exons.
AAGAAAGAACAUUUGCUCGCAGUUUUUCACAGAUCCUCUGCCUCUUGUAGAGUAGGUUAAGGCGAGUUCGUAGUGACCGUCCCAGAAAGAAAUGGCCAGGAGACGUCCCGGUAUUGACGAAGAAAUUCAUUCAGGUUAGGUAUGUUGUAUGGAUCCAGUUGUAUUGGCCAUUAUUUUUAGGGGGUUCUUGGCGGUUUGAACAUAUCUCUCGACUUGGCCGUUGGUAAGGAGCAGUGAACUUAUGGUACUUAACAUUAAGAAAUAGAAAUGCGUAAGAUAGCCAGCAUUACUUGCCAUACGACUGAUGCAGAGCACGGGAAGCAAGUGGUUUUGUACAGUGCAAAAUGUGCAUAUAAAUAAAAAAAAAAUUUCUGUACUGCCCAUACUAUGUCCAGUGCCUCUUUGUCGAUUUGAGUGUACCUUGGCUUGUUUUAGCAAUAUAUUGGAUGGUGGAAACGGAAACACACGGCAUAACGCAGAAAAGUAAGGGCAUGGUUGGUGUACGAUAUUUGCGGAUAGAAAAGCCUCCCUUAUUGCAACCCCUGAUAGUAUCGCAGUGUGAAAUGAUGACUUCCGGAGUGCUUUGUAUUUUGUCUGCUCUCCUGCUACCUCUACGCAGAGGCCUUCCCUAUUGCAACCCACGACAGUAUCCAGUGUGAAAUGGUGACUUCCGGAGUGCUUUGUAUUUUGUCUGGUCUCCUGCUACUUUAAUCUACACAGAGGCCUCCCUUAUUAGAACCCCCGAUAGUAUCCUAGGGUGAAAUGGUGACUUCCGGAGUGCUUUGUAUUUUGUCUGCUCUCCUGCUACUUUAAUCUACACAGAGGCCUUCCUUAUUGCAACCUCCGAUAGUAUCGCAGUGAGAAAUGAUGACUUCCUGAGUGCUUUGUAUUUUGUCUGCUCUCCUGCUACCUUAAUCUACACAGAGGGCUUCCUUAUUGCAACCCCCGAUAGUAUCGUAGUGUGAAAUGAUGACUUCCGGAGUGCUUUGUAUGUUGUCUGCUCUCCUGCUACUUUAAUCUACACAGAGGGCUUCCUUAUUGCAACCCCCGAUAGUAUCGUAGUGUGAAAUGAUGACUUCCGGAGUGCUUUGUAUGUUGUCUGCUCUCCUGCUACUUUAAUCUACACAGAGGUAGGGUUUGAAUACCUGGCGAUGACCCAGCAUGUAACUAGAGCAUUUCUUUUCUUUCAGGGCUUCCUUAUUGCAACCCCCGAUAGUAUCGUAGUGUGAAAUGAUGACUUCCGGAGUGCUUUGUAUGUUGUCUGCUCUCCUGCUACUUUAAUCUACACAGAGGGCUUCCUUAUUGCAAUCCCCGAUAGUAUCGUAGUGUGAAAUGAUGACUUCCGGAGUGCUUUGUAUGUUGUCUGCUCUCCUACUACUUUAAUCUACACAGAGGUAGGGUUUGAAUACCUGGCGAUGACCCAGCAUUUAACUAGAGCAUUUCUUUUCUUUCAGGGCUUCCUUAUUGCCACCCCCGUGGAGUGCUUUGUAUACUUUGUCUGCUCUCCUGCUACUUUAAUCUACACAGAGGCCUUCCCUAUUGCAACCCCCGAUAGUAUCGUAGUGUGAAAUGAUCACUUCGGGAGUGCUUUGUAUUUUGUCUGCUCUCCUGCUACUUUAAUUUACACAGAGAGCUUCCUUAUUGCAACCCCCGAUAGUAUCGUAGUGUGAAAUGGUGACUCCAGAGUGCUUUGUAUGUUGUCUGCUCUCCUGCUGCUUUAAUCUACACAGAGCUAGGGUUUUAUUACCUGGCGAUGACCCGGCAUGUAACUAGAGCAUUAUUGUUUUAUUUCAGGUCAUCCCUAUUGCAACCCCCGAUAGUAUCGUAGUGUGAAAUGAUGACUUCCUGAGUGCUUUGUAUGCUCUCCUGCUACUUUGAUCUACACCGAGGUACAAUCAUGUCAUAAUGGUAGCAAAGCUGAAAAAAUCCAACUCCAAUUUAUUAAAGAAAGUGGAAUAGAUAAAAACGAAGGGAUCCACCAUCAUCAGGUGCCAUGUCUUUUUAAUUAUGAUAAAGAUACAGAC